Molecule: ribosomal RNA, 468 nt
Filed under: uncultured bacterium
Lineage: Bacteria
Description: partial 16S ribosomal RNA
Rfam family: Bacterial small subunit ribosomal RNA
Source: RNAcentral
GACGAACGCUGGCGGCGUGCUUAACACAUGCAAGUCGAACGGAAAGGCCCUGCUUUUGUGGGGUGCUCGAGUGGCGAACGGGUGAGUAACACGUGGGUAACCUGCCCUUGACUUUGGGAUAACUUCAGGAAACUGGGGCUAAUACCGGAUAGGAGCUCCUGCUGCAUGGUGGGGGUUGGAAAGUUUCGGCGGUUGGGGAUGGACUCGCGGCUUAUCAGCUUGUUGGUGGGGUAGUGGCUUACCAAGGCUUUGACGGGUAGCCGGCCUGAGAGGGUAACCGGCCACAUUGGGACUGAGAUACGGCCCAGACUCCUACGGGAGGCAGCAGUGGGGAAUAUUGCACAAUGGGCGGAAGCCUGAUGCAGCAACGCCGCGUGCGGGAUGACGGCCUUCGGGUUGUAAACCGCUUUCGCCUGUGACGAAGCGUGAGUGACGGUAAUGGGUAAAGAAGCACCGGCUAACUACGUG